Molecule: non-coding RNA, 5657 nt
Organism: Cajanus cajan (pigeon pea)
Lineage: Eukaryota; Viridiplantae; Streptophyta; Magnoliopsida; Fabales; Fabaceae
Source: RefSeq, a predicted model, not a curated record
CCUAAUCACCAUAUGAUUAAAUAAAUUGAAAGUUUAACCAUUAAGAUAACUAAAUAACUAUAAAUUCUAGAAAGUGGACACCUCAUCAUUGUGUGAUUAGAUAUAUUGGAAGCUUAACUAUUAAGAUACUUAAAUAAUUCAACAAAAUUCUAGAAAGUCCUAUAAAUACUUACUAUAUGAGCACCUAAUCAACAUGUGACUAAAAUGACUUAAAAAAUAUUAAGAAAUAUCUAUCAAUCUAGAAUAUUUGAGAAUAGAGGUAGAAACUAGUAUAAAAGGGAGAAACUACACCAAAAGGCUCACCAAUAACACUUAACUAAGACAUAAACCAAGUCAAAGAAACGUUCAAAAAUACUCUAUCUUUGCUACAACCAAGAUGGAAAACAAGGAGUAAGCAACUAAAAUUUCAAGAAGAGAAAAAGAAAGAAAGAAGAUAGGAGGAAGAAAAAGAAGCAAGAAAAAAAGAAACCAAGGAAAUUAGGAUAAAACUAGUAAGCUUGGAGAAAUAGGUAUGUGUUAGAUAUUUAAUUUUAUUCAUGUCUUUAUAAUUGUAGAGUAAAACUUGAUUAUUACUUCUAAGUUUGGAUGCAUGGAUCCCUAGGUUAGAUGAUAUGGUUUCUAAUUGUAUUUAUUGAUAAAUUUGAUGUUUAAAGGUUGAAUCUUGAAGUGGUUGAUUUUUUAUGAUUGGAUGUUGUUAUUGAAUUUGUUUGAAUUGUAUUUGAAAAGUUUGAUUGAGAAUGAUUUUUGAAGAGAUAGAUUCAUAGUAAUGCAUGUUGCAUAUUGCAUAAUGUGGUUUGAGUCGAAAUAAUUUUUGGGGGAAAAGAAAAAAGUUUAUGAAAAUAUUUGAGAAAUGACUUUUAUAUCAAGGAUAAUUGAUAGAAAAAGAAUGAUUUUUGGAAUUUAGAAAUGAUGUUUUUUUUUUAAAUUCUUUUCUUUACAUUUACUAUCCGAGACAUUGGUGGAAGAGAUUGAUUGUGAUAGUGGAUACUGUUAAGGAUAGUUGACAAUAUGAGAUGGAAAUAAAAAAAAUAUAGAGUGAGAGAGAGCUUAAUAUGGUUGUGAAAGUUUAAUUGAGAUAUUUGUUUUAUGCUACCAAUAUUAGAAGAUAGUAAAUGAGAUUUGAGUAGAAUGGAUAAGAUAGGACCUCUAGUCUAAAAGAUAGAACUUUGAUCUAAGGAGUGUUAGGGCAUUGACAACCUUAUAGAUGACCAGUCUUUAUUUGGUUUUGUGCUAGUAAUCUGUUGGGUGCACUAAUACUCUGACUACUGUCUACUUAUUCAUAUUUAAUGGGGCAUUACUGAAUCAUUGGACAAAGUGAUGUUAAACUCUAGAUUCACUAAACACUCAAGAGGGAAAAUAUUCAUUGAGUAUUGAGUCAAAAUGAUUUUGAAAAGUAUAUUUUAAGUCAAAAUCUGCAUCUUAUAAGCAUAUUGCAUUAUUUGGACUAUUAUUAGUAAAAUAUCUUAUUAAGUUGUUGAGUGUGCAUUAGUAAUAGUAUGCAUAAAAACACAUAUUUCUUCUUUAUCUACCUCUCGACAUAUCCUUUCCCAUUUCUUGCAUUGCUAGGCUUCAAAAUAAAUGACUUUUAUAGGAACAACUACAUUCUUUAGCUCCAAGAAGAUGCAAAAAUGUUUUGUCAUUAGUAUAAUUGGAAAAGUAGCUAAGUAUUUUUUUGUUUACUAAAUCUUGAUAGUCAUAAUCAUUCAUAUUUGUUAUGGUUCUCAUAUUCUCAGUUAUCAUAAGAGGAGACCCUUCGAUUACAUUUAUGGGUGUCAACAAAGAUGUUUUUGGCCAUAUUUUGUUUGGUUUGUUGAGAAAUCCUAAUUAUAUUUUCUCCUCCUAGCUAAUAAGUUACAACUACUUCUUGUUGAAUUGGCCAAGAGAUAUUGGCCAUAUUCAAAAUUAUUAUAAGGUUAACACAGGUGGAAAUAAAAAGAAGAAAAAAUGUUUUUCAAAGGAAGAUUUACCUAUACGGUGAACCUUUUGAUCAAUUAGUCAUUAGGAAUCAAAACUACUAAAUCUAAAAACACUAUAAGAACUCAUGGUAAAUGUGGAAAUGCAUCUUGGUAGGUACUUGGUUGGUUAAAAAAAGAACCGAGGAAAAAAUUCUUAAAUCAAUUAAUGGAUACUCAUAUAGUAGAGGAUGCUUGAGAGCUAAGUACUUUGCUUAAGGGUUGAGUUUGUGUUUUAUAGGGCUGAAAAACCUGGGAGCCCAAAAGUCCCGACUCCUCAUCAUAACCAUUAGAUUGUCUUAAAAUCAACAAUCAAGGGAUCGUGACUUUCCCACUCCAAAUGAUGGGGAUGGGAAACAUCAUAGAUGAUAGGUUGAUGCACAUGAUAACCCUAAAGGCGGUGCAUUAAAUGUUGGGAUUUGACACUCUUCAAAACAAAUUUGUCUUGGUAAUUGACAACCUUUGCACAUACUCAACUUUAUUGGAAGUCUUUUCAUACCAAAAUCAGGACUUGAAGACUUAUCUACCAAAUAUGAUUUAGACACCUUAUUGAAGGACUAAAUAUUCUACAAUGAACGAGUAGUAUUCAGAUAUCUGAUUCAAAGCUUGAAUAAGGUUCAAUUUUGACAACUAUUUGAAUCAACGAAGAUGAUUAUGUAACCAUCAUUGUCGUUCAUCAUUAUCAUUGGAACACAAAACACAUUUAUUACAUCAAUAAAUGAAAGCUAUGUAUCCUCAUAUUGUAUAUUAAGCCUUUUGUUCAAACAUUUGGUACUUUUUCAUAUCCUAUUAAUUUAUGUUAAAUCAAAAGAUGAUUUUGGAUCCCUCAAGCUUUCGAGUUUUGAUGUUAAUAGAAAAUGUUUUUGCAAAAUACAAAUCAAAAGAAGCAUAAAGAUUCAAAUCAUUAGAUAGACGAUUUGUCAUAAGAUGAAACAUAUAGUUUGAUUUCAUAAAGUCUUAAAUGCAUUUCAUUUAUAAUGACAAAUAACUACUUGUUGCAUGACUAGUUGAUUCCUUAACUGAUCAACCUAUGAAAGCUCUUUGGAACUAAAAAUCUAUUAAAGUGAAUGAAGUCAUGCUUUACAUGAGAACCAAGGAAAAACAAAUCCUUAAAAUCAUAGAGAAAGUCAACAAAAGUCGAUGCAAAAUCUACUUUUUCUUGACACACGCUAUAGAUAGUUUGUUUGGCAUCCUAAAGUUGAUAAGAAGUGAAAAUUUGGUGAAACACAUUUAAUGCAUCAACAAGCACUUCUUAUCUCAAGGAACCUAUAACGAAGACAGAUGAAACAAGUUUGUGAUGAACCUUUAAGGUUUUGCAAUGCUCAUCUUAAUUAGAGCUAUUAUAUAAGAAGCUUCAUGAUUAAAAAGAAAAAAGAACUUUUGAAGAAAUAUUUUUAAAAGAACUUUUAUACAAAUUACUAUUGAUUCUUUCUAUAAAAACUUCUAUUCUUAAUUGGUUGUACCACAUCUUGUUUGUAAGAUGAAACAUUUGUAAAACUUUACCCAAAUAUAAUUGUUGUUAGGAUUGAGCAUGGAGAGACUUGUUUAUAAAAGAAUACUUGUUUGAGCCUAAAGAGACUUGUCUAUAAAAAAAUACGUAUUUGAACCUAGAGAGGCUUGUCUACAAAAUAAUACUUGGUGUUGAAGCCUAGAAAGGCUUUAUGUGAAAAAAAUACUUGGGUAGAUUGCUUAAAGAGACUAUUCAAAGAAAACUUAGGUUUGAGCCAGAAGUGGCUUGUUGAAAGAACACUUGUAUCAUGUUUAAGAUAAUGGAACUUAAUCUAGUUAGAUUGAGAACUGGACGUAGUCUCGAUGGUUGAGAUGAGCCAUUAUAAAAUUACCUUGUGUUUUGUUUGCCUCUUUUUCAUCACUCUUUACUGUUAGUGUCACUACUUCUCUACUUGAGAAAGUGUGAGUUUUUGACUGAAACUAUUCAACCCCCUUUUAGUGUCUGUCUAUUCUCUACACUUUGGUAUCAAAGCUCAACCUUUGACAAAAUUGAGCAUCUAACUGUGCUAAAGGAAAAAGAUCUAUUAUGGGAUGUAGUGAAGGCCAGUAUCUACCAAAGUGAGCUUCUUUUAUAUGGCCUUCGACCUUUAAUGAAGAAGACUACCCAUAUUGAAAGUGAAGAUGUUCAUAAAAUCCACCCAAUACCACCUUUGGAAGAUUAUCACUCAAGGUGAUGUAGUUGUUACCAAGCAUAAGAGCCAACACAAUCAAGACGACUACAACAUUUUGCUACUUAACACAAAAGCCAUGUACAUUUUUGGCUUUCUCUUUGUCUAAAAUUGAAUACAAGAAGUUCUGCAGCUACUCAACGACCAAAGAAAUGUGGGAAGUUAUCAGAGUAACUCAUGAGGGUACUAAGGAUACGAAACUUAGAUGAGUUGCCACUCUUCAAAUACACUAUGAGUUAUUUUCCAUGAAGGAAAAUGAAACCAUUGAUGAAAUGUUUGGAAGAUUCUAAAAAAUUCUAAAUAGGUUAAAAUCCCUAGGAAUUGAAUUUUCAAAAAUGCAGAAUAAUCUUAAGAUCUUGGAUCGUCUUCCAAAGGUCUAGGAGCCCAAUAACUCAAAUGAUAGUUUCGAGAACUCGACAGACGAUGAGAUAUCUCUCAUGUCUAAGAAGUUCAAAAGACAUGCUGAAUAAAAAAGAUUGAGAAACUUCCACAAAAAGAAAGACAAUUUCAAGAAACCUGGUCAGAAUGAUAAUAAGAAGGUCAUCUACUAUGAGUGUAAGAAGCUAGGACAUAUGAAGGGUGAACAUCCUACACUUAUAAAAUGAUGGACCAUUAAAAAGAAGGCCAAAAAAAAGCUAGAUGGCCACUCAGAAAGAUUUGCACAACAACAAUUUAGACAAGAAGAAAGCCAACAUCUACCUCAUGGCAAACGCUAACUCUAAAUCAAAUGAUAUAGAGGUUGAGGUAAAUUAUAAUUCCAACUCUUGUUCAUCUGGUUUUGAUGAGAAAGAUAUGUCUUAUGAGACUCUCUUUGUAAACUCUCACAUGAUCUCUCUUGUGUAUAAGAAAUUAAAAGAGAAAUAUAAAAUUUUACAAAAUGAGAAUGAUAAACUCAAGAAAGAUAGGUCAGACACUACAAGAGAGAUAAAAACUCUCAAAGAAAAGAUCAUUAGCAAUAUCCUACCUAAGGUUAUAGCAUUAGAAGAUAAAACCAUAAAACUUAGCAAGGACCUAACUAAAUUUGUUGAUGGGUUUUGUAAAAUAAACAUGCUUUUAAAACAUAAAAGACUUUCAUCAAAAGAAAGUGAUAUUGGCUUUGAUCUUGGAUCUGGGACAUCUCAAUCCAAACUCAAGACCACUUUCCACAAGGCCAGGGGAAAAGGAGGACAAACUCCAGGUAGAUGGAAAUAUUAGUUUAAUGUUGUUGGUACUAAUAGGAAAGGAUCCAAAAAUAUUUGGAUACCAAAGUCACAAAUAAUUUUUUUUGUAGAUAUACUUGGUGGGAAAAAGGAAGGAUUCACACUAGUAUCUGGAUAGUAGUUGCUCAUGACACAUGACAGGAGAAAGGUCUAUGUUCUUAGACAUUCAACCUUAUGAAGGAUCCAUCUCAUUUGGAGGAAGCAAAAAUAAGUAAGAUAGACUUUGUUGGAGACCAAAUUGAAAGAGAAAGUACAAGUGGAGGAUGUCAUUUCCACUAUAGAGGCAGAGCACAUUUUUGCAGCAGAGUGUUGCUUACAACUCCUAUGGG